This 1342-nucleotide long non-coding RNA is filed under the name Nicotiana tabacum (common tobacco). RNAcentral's name for it is "long non-coding RNA (NTAB_LNC000561)". Lineage: Eukaryota; Viridiplantae; Streptophyta; Magnoliopsida; Solanales; Solanaceae. The record is from RNAcentral.
UCACUGUUAUUGUUGUUGUUUACUGCUUGCUGAGCUCCUUAUUACACCAAAGUCAAAAUGAAAAAGACUAACUAAGCCUAUUAGCUACGAGUUACAAGAUUCCUAUCUAUGAGUCUUUUGAAGCUUGAUCUUGAGUUUUGGCUGGUUCUUCCUGCAGACUCUGAUCUGAACCUUGAUGCUUGCUAGCUGCAGGUGCUAGUUCAUUCUUCUUCGGCUUUUCAGAUCAAGAUGCGACAUGCAAAGCUUGCGACUUCAAUCAUGUCUUGGUCAUCCUGGACUGUCGACUUGCAUUCUUGAGGUGAGCUUCUGUACUUCUAACUUGAAUUGAAUUCUGAAAUAACUUCCCUCAUUCUUCAGGUGGGCACCUGCAACUGACUUGAAAUUUGAACUGAAUUCCCUCGUUCUCCAGGUGCCUGCUAAUGACUUGAAAAUUGAAACAAAUUCCCACAUUCUCCAAGUGGGUGCCUGCCGCUAACUUAAAACUUGAAAUAAAUUUCCUCAUUCUCCAGGUGGGCGCCUGAUGACUUAAAACUUGAAAUAAAUUCCCUCAUUCUCCAGGUGGGCGCCUGCUGACUUUAAAAUCUUGAAAUGAAUUCCCUCGUUUUCCAGAUGGGUGCCUGAUGUUGACUUAACACUUGAAAUGAAUUCCCUCAUUCUCCAGGUGGGCGCCUGAUGUUGACUUAAAACUUGAAAUAAAUUCCCUCGUUCUCUAGGUGGGCGCCUGAUGACUUAAAACUUGAAAUAAAUUCCCUCAUUCUCUAGGUGGGCACAUGCUGACUUAAAAACUUGAAAUAAAUUCCCUCGUUUUUCAGGUGGGUGCCUGAUGUUGACUUACACUUGAAAUGAAUUCCCACAUUCUCCAGGUGGGUGCCUGAUGCUACAACAAAAUAGACAAAACAAAAGAAACUUUUCUGCCCCAGUUUGUACUAGGAAGAUUUGUGAGUUGUUAGCAGAACUAUAAAUCACCUAUGUUAUUGAUGAAUGAUGCAAUGAUGAGAGUAAAAUUAAAGACUCGACUAGGAUGUGCGUCUCCUAAAGAAAUAAAAAUCUGAAAAACCUAAACUAGAAAGUGCGUCUCCUAAAUUUUAGAUUGAGCUUGCGGAAAACUAUAAACUAAGCUUGACUAAACUAAAAACUGACCCUAUUCUCCAGGCGGGACCCCUGAUUUCAAGAAAACUAAAGAUUGAUAAUUUAAGAAAACUGAAAAUUGACCCUUUCUUUUUAAAAAAAGAAAAAGAAAAAAAAAUCCAGACUUCCCUUUUUUUAAACUUAUUAUCGUAGCAGAAAAUUCAUUAGAUUAGGUUUUAAUCUUAGGAGAAAGAUUCAUCAGACUAAGAUUUUG